CCGGGCUUGCUCGGGAGAGUAAAGUGGCGAACGGGUGAGUAACGCGUGGGUAACCUGCCCCUGAAUCUGGAAUAACAUCGCGAAAGCGACGCUAAUACCGGAUAUUGUCCCAGGGACUGUGGUCCUUGUGAUGAAAGAUGACCUCUUCACGAAAGUUGUCGUUCAGGGAGGGGCCCGCGUACCAUUAGCUAGUUGGUAGGGUAAUGGCCUACCAAGGCGAAGAUGGUUAGCUGGUCUGAGAGGAUGACCAGCCACACUGGCACUGAAACACGGGCCAGACUCCUACGGGAGGCAGCAGUGAGGAAUUUUGCGCAAUAGGGGAAACCCUGACGCAGCAACGCCGCGUGAGUGAAGAAGGCCCUCGGGCCGUAAAGCUCUGUCAAGUGGGAAAAAAGCUUGUUGGUGAAUAGCCAGCAAGACUGAUGGUACCAUUGAAGGAAGCACCGGCUAACUCCGUGCCAGCAGCCGCGGUAAUACGGAGGGUGCAAGCGUUGUUCGGAAUUACUGGGCGUAAAGGGCGCGUAGGCGGUGUGGUAAGUCAGAUGUGAAAGCCCUGGGCUUAACCCAGGAAGUGCAUUUGAAACUACCAUGCUCGAGUAUGGGAGAGGAGAGUGGAAUUCCCAGUGUAGAGGUGAAAUUCGUAGAUAUUGGGAGGAACACCCGUGGCGAAGGCGACUCUCUGGACCAAUACUGACGCUGAGGCGCGAAAGCGUGGGGAGCAAACAGGAUUAGAUACCCUGGUAGUCCACGCCGUAAACGAUGAGCACUAG
This 770-nucleotide ribosomal RNA is filed under the name uncultured delta proteobacterium. Its description in RNAcentral is "bacterial SSU rRNA". It matches the Rfam family "Bacterial small subunit ribosomal RNA", at positions 74 to 819 of the family's 1533-position model. Lineage: Bacteria; Deltaproteobacteria. The record is from RNAcentral.